CCCUUUAAUGUUUGAUGUUCUAACGUAGGCCCCUUAUCGGGGUUGCGGACAGUGUCUGGUGGGUAGUUUGACUGGGGCGGUCUCCUCCUAAAGAGUAACGGAGGAGCACGAAGGUUGGCUAAUCCUGGUCGGACAUCAGGAGGUUAGUGCAAUGGCAUAAGCCAGCUUGACUGCGAGCGUGACGGCGCGAGCAGGUGCGAAAGCAGGUCAUAGUGAUCCGGUGGUUCUGAAUGGAAGGGCCAUCGCUCAACGGAUAAAAGGUACUCCGGGGAUAACAGGCUGAUACCGCCCAAGAGUUCAUAUCGACGGCGGUGUUUGGCACCUCGAUGUCGGCUCAUCACAUCCUGGGGCUGAAGUAGGUCCCAAGGGUAUGGCUGUUCGCCAUUUAAAGUGGUACGCGAGCUGGGUUUAGAACGUCGUGAGACAGUUCGGUCCCUAUCUGCCGUGGGCGCUGGAGAACUGAGGGGGGCUGCUCCUAGUACGAGAGGACCGGAGUGGACGCAUCACUGGUGUUCGGGUUGUCAUGCCAAUGGCACUGCCCGGUAGCUAAAUGCGGAAGAGAUAAGUGCUGAAAGCAUCUAAGCACGAAACUUGCCCCGAGAUGAGUUCUCCCUGACCCUUUAAGGGUCCUGAAGGAACGUUGAAGACGACGACGUUGAUAGGCCGGGUGUGUAAGCGCAGCGAUGCGUUGAGCUAACCGGUACUAAUGAACCGUGAGGCUUAACCUUACAACGCCGAAGGUGUUU
RNAcentral lists this ribosomal RNA (746 nucleotides) under Escherichia coli. Its description in RNAcentral is "bacterial LSU rRNA". It matches the Rfam family "Bacterial large subunit ribosomal RNA", at positions 2203 to 2925 of the family's 2925-position model. Lineage: Bacteria; Pseudomonadati; Pseudomonadota; Gammaproteobacteria; Enterobacterales; Enterobacteriaceae. The record is from RNAcentral.